AGAAACGCCACAUAUGCAAAUUCCAAUUCCAACAAAAGCCUAUAUUAUACUAUCUAAAUCUGCAGAUACAUGAAAAUAUUAGUCUGUAACAUGGUCUUUCCUGAUAAGCAAUCGAAAAUUCCUCAGAUGAUUUUGAUUUGAUAUCUGAGAGAAGCAAUUGGCUCCAAAUGUUAUUAGCUUAUUGUGCUUCUCCAAGAAUAAGCUAAUAAUAUUAACAAGGAGAAGGAGAAGAGGA
This 235-nucleotide unclassified non-coding RNA is filed under the name Hevea brasiliensis (rubber tree). Lineage: Eukaryota; Viridiplantae; Streptophyta; Magnoliopsida; Malpighiales; Euphorbiaceae. The record is from RNAcentral.